This 1826-nucleotide long non-coding RNA is filed under the name Anser brachyrhynchus (Pink-footed goose). Its description in RNAcentral is "lncRNA (ENSABRG00000013752.1)". Lineage: Eukaryota; Metazoa; Chordata; Aves; Anseriformes; Anatidae. The record is from RNAcentral.
CUGAUUCCUCCCAGCUUGAGCCAGGGUGACUCAGAGUUUGUAAAAUGGAGCCAGGAAAACUAUUGAAGGGGUCUUAAUUAUAAAGCACGUCUCCCUUUGCACUUUUUUUUUUUCCCCCAGGUGAUAUCCUGAUAGGCUGUCUGUGACAUGAACAGGGGGAAGCCCUGCAAUGUUUUUAGUGUCACAUGUUCCCAACCAGGUUCUCAACAAGGAAAGAGCAAGAUGGACAAGUUCGGAUAAGCCGUGUUUGGGUCGUGUCCCAAAAAGGAUAAAAGACUUUAAAGACUUUCAAGAGAGAAGGAAGAGUAGAGGGGUUGUAGAGGUGUAUGGCAUUAGAGAAACCCUGAGUGAGACACUGAGUUUUUUUUGUUUUUUUUUUUCCUGCUAAAAACAAACUCAAACUUUGAACCGAAGCUCAUUCACGUAUUAUGACCUAUUAUUAUGAAACUACCGCUUCGUAUGAAACACUGUGAAGUUUCCUGGCAAUCAAGUGGCAGUGCACACUUGGGCUCACCUAUCCUCUACGUUUCUGACUUGAACUUGACAUGGAAGGAAAUCUGGUGUUAGCUGGUCCUCUCUUCCCUUUGCUGUGGCCACAUACACCUUCAUUAUGCCUUUCCCCAUGCACUGCUUCAGCACAAAGAGCACCAGGAGGUGGAAGGGAGGACGAGCGGCUGCCCUGUGCACUCAUUUAUCAACACAGGCUGCAGACAUCUUUCAUCAAUCCUCCUGCUGUCAGAACUAACCAGAAGAAGGGACAGAAGCAAUCAUAACAACUUCCUCCUGUGGUGGGUUUCCAAGAGACAAAAAUGCAGCGUGGUUGAGACCUGCACGGAGGUUCGAGGAGUCUGGCCUUUUGCAGAGCACAAAUGGAUUCCCGCUCGCCUACGGAGCAUAUCUGAUACACAGCAGAAUUGUAUAAAAUGAGGAAUGACUGCAAAAUAUGACUCGUGUGUGUGUGUGUGGAGGGGCAGUGGGUUGAAGAGGAAGAUGGAGUGUGAGUAAAUUCCCAGGAUUGUCCAUGGACUGGUACCAUCCGUACCUCUAAAUGGGGAAAACAACAGUCUGAGACAUUUUCUGAAAAGGUGUAGGUGUUGGUGAAAUGGGCCAGGAGAAAAUAGGUACUGGCAGUAGGCUCAUUAAGCAAUCACUCUGCCAUUUACAAGUAACAAAAGAGACUUCACAGACUGCUGAGAAAAUGGAUUAACCUGCAGUCAAGCCCUGACCCUCACCCAGUUCUUCCUGUGAAAUAAGAUGGUGGCACCAGGUCCUGAGUGAAUGUUUGAAAGCUAACUUCAGUCCCUUUAGAGGAGGUUAUUGCUUCCAUGAAGUGCUUGAGGUCUAUAGCAGAUUCAUUUAGGGUUUCCUUAUGAGAUCUGGAAAAUGGGUGUUGGAAAAUAGAGGUGGAUGCAAAAGACAGGAAGAGAAAAGCCCUGCCCUUAUUGCAGGACAAGGCUUGUACUCAUUUUGAGAGAUGGCUUUCAGAUUGAAAAUGCACCAUCCACUAACAAAGAGGCUGCAGUGGGGUGCGUGUCUUUUGUCCAGCCUGUUGUAUCUAGCUGAUACCCUGAUGCAUACCAAAGUCUUUGAAGGGAAACUCAUAAACUCUUUAUAAGUGGGCUGUGAUAAGCUCAAGGCAGCCCAUCUAAAUCAUAAAGAAAUGUGAGGUGCCCUGGAAAGAAAUAAUUUGCUUUUCACACAUUGUGGGGGAGCACACCAGAGAUGGAAAAGAGCAAUUCAAGUUAAAACACAACCGCAGCAUGGAAACAACUGGAUAUAAACUGCCCAAGAAUAAAAUUAAAUUGGAAACUGGAAGGAGUUCUGUC